AGUGAACGCUGGCGGUAGGCCUAACACAUGCAAGUCGAACGGCAGCACAGGAGAGCUUGCUCUCUGGGUGGCGAGUGGCGGACGGGUGAGGAAUACAUCGGAAUCUACCUUUUCGUGGGGGAUAACGUAGGGAAACUUACGCUAAUACCGCAUACGACCUACGGGUGAAAGUGGGGGACCGCAAGGCCUCACGCGAUUAGAUGAGCCGAUGUCCGAUUAGCUAGUUGGCGGGGUAAUGGCCCACCAAGGCGACGAUCGGUAGCUGGUCUGAGAGGAUGAUCGGCCACACUGGAACUGAGACACGGUCCAGACUCCUACGGGAGGCAGCAGUGGGGAAUAUUGGACAAUGGGCGCAAGCCUGAUCCAGCCAUACCGCGUGGGUGAAGAAGGCCUUCGGGUUGUAAAGCCCUUUUGUUGGGAAAGAAAUCCUGUCGAUUAAUACUCGGUGGGGAUGACGGUACCCAAAGAAUAAGCACCGGCUAACUUCGUG
RNAcentral lists this ribosomal RNA (490 nucleotides) under uncultured bacterium. RNAcentral's name for it is "partial 16S ribosomal RNA". It matches the Rfam family "Bacterial small subunit ribosomal RNA", at positions 29 to 507 of the family's 1533-position model. The record is from RNAcentral.